GAUGAAGAACGUAGCGAAAUGCGAUACGUAAUGUGAAUUGCAGAAUUCAGUGAAUCAUCGAAUCUUUGAACGCAUAUUGCGCUCUCUGGUAUUCCGGAGAGCAUGCUUGUUUGAGUAUCAGUAAACACCUCAACUUCCAUAUCUUUUUUGAAAUGGGAGUCGGACUUGAGUGAUCCCAACGCUUUUCCUCACCGAAAAGUGGCGGGUUACUUGAAAUGCAGGUGCAGCUGGACUUUUCUCUGAGCUAUAAGCAUAUCUAUUUAGUCUGCCUAAAAAACAGAUUAUUACCUUUGCUGCAGCUAACAUAAAGGAGAUUAGUUCUUGUGCUGACUGAUGCAGGAUUCACAAAGACAGGCUUCGGCCGACUUUGUAAACUCGAUCUCAAAUCAAGUAAGACUACCCGCUGAACUUAAGCAUAUCAAUAAGCGGAGGA
Molecule: unclassified non-coding RNA, 433 nt
Filed under: soil metagenome
Description: partial contains 5.8S ribosomal RNA, internal transcribed spacer 2, and large subunit ribosomal RNA
Rfam family: 5.8S ribosomal RNA (bases 1-120)
Source: RNAcentral